AACACCAGAUCUGACAGGGAAAGCAAAAAUUCAGAUAUUUAUGCAGAGAUACCAGAAGAUACACCAGUUCCAACAUGUAAAUUCAGCAUCUUACGAAACGACGUUGUCCUCGGCCGGAUUCUGGGUGAAGGUUUCUUUGGUGAGGUGCAUGAUGGGAUCUAUAAA
Molecule: long non-coding RNA, 165 nt
Organism: Sinocyclocheilus rhinocerous
Lineage: Eukaryota; Metazoa; Chordata; Actinopteri; Cypriniformes; Cyprinidae
Exons: 3
Source: RefSeq, a predicted model, not a curated record